This 70-nucleotide transfer RNA is filed under the name Hemathlophorus sp. RNAcentral's name for it is "tRNA-Asp". The record is from RNAcentral. Lineage: Eukaryota; Metazoa; Arthropoda; Insecta; Hymenoptera; Tenthredinidae.
AAAGAAUUAGUUUAUUUAAACAUUAGUAUGUCAAACUAAAAUAAUUAGAUUUAUUAACUAAUAUUCUUUU